CCUACGGGAGGCAGCAGUGAGGAAUAUUGGUCAAUGGACGAGAGUCUGAACCAGCAAAGUAGCGUGAAGGAUGACUGCCCUAUGGGUUGUAAACUUCUUUUAUAUGGGAAUAAAAUGUUCCACGUGUGGGGUUUUGUAUGUACCAUAUGCAUAAGGAUCGGCUAACUCCGUUCCAGCAGCCGCGGUAAUACGGAGGAUCCGAGCGUUAUCCGGAUUUAUUGGGUUUAAAGGGAGCGUAGGUGGAUUGUUAAGUCAGUUGUGAAAGUGUGCGGACCAACCGGAAAAUUGCAGUUGACACUGGCAGUCUUGAGUACAGGAGAGGUGGGCGGAAUUCGUGGUGUAGCGGUGAAAUGCUUAGAUAUCUCGAAGAACUCCGAUUGCGAAGGCAGCUCACUGGACUGCAACUGACACUGAGGCUCGAAAGUGUGGGUAUCAAACAGGAUUAGAUACCCUUGUAGUC
Molecule: ribosomal RNA, 460 nt
Filed under: uncultured bacterium
Lineage: Bacteria
Description: partial 16S ribosomal RNA
Rfam family: Bacterial small subunit ribosomal RNA
Source: RNAcentral